This 161-nucleotide unclassified non-coding RNA is filed under the name soil metagenome. RNAcentral's name for it is "partial contains 5.8S ribosomal RNA, internal transcribed spacer 2, and large subunit ribosomal RNA". The record is from RNAcentral.
AACACUGUUAACCUGCGGUACCUGCGGAGGGAUCAUUACUGUGAUUUACUACUACACUGCGUGAGCGGAACGAAAACAACAACACCUAAAAUGUGGAAUAUAGCAUAUAGUCGACAAGAGAAAUCUACGAAAAAACAAACAAAACUUUUAACAAUGGAUCU